RNAcentral lists this ribosomal RNA (206 nucleotides) under uncultured bacterium. Its description in RNAcentral is "partial 16S ribosomal RNA". It matches the Rfam family "Bacterial small subunit ribosomal RNA", at positions 568 to 774 of the family's 1533-position model. The record is from RNAcentral.
AGCGCAGGUGGGAAAGUAAGUCAGUCUUAAAAGUGCGGGGCUCAACCCCGUGAGGGGAUUGAAACUACUUUUCUUGAGUGCAGGAGAGGAAAGCGGAAUUCCUAGUGUAGCGGUGAAAUGCGUAGAUAUUAGGAGGGACACCAGUGGCGAAGGCGGCUUUCUGGACUGUAACUGACACUGAGGCUCGAAAGCCAGGGGAGCGAACG